UAUUUAUUUGCUUAUCAUACGAAUCUUGUAUAUAUAAUAACUCAUCUACAAGAGUUGAAUCUAGGGUUAAUAAGAAACAAAAAAAGGAGCACAGCAGUCUCUACCUGGUCACAUGCAUGAAUGCCACCAAGUCUGUCAUGCUACACUCUUGCAUGAGCACAGGAGCACAUGACUGUGGUUCCAUAAACUAAACUAUGUUUCACUUGUAUCUAUCUUGACUUAUUACAGCUAAGCAAAUAACCGUAAUUUGCUUGUUUCUCCGGGAAUGGCUCCGGAAUUUUUCUAGUUGAUUAAAACUUAUAUAAAUUAAAGAAGUAAUUCGGUUCGGAAUGAUUUCAGGUCACAAUUCCUAGACAACCGAACGGCUCCUUAGCUGUUUGCAUGCUCCUAGUAUUGUCCAUGCACAUAGAUGGUGUAUACAUUAUUGUUGCACCCCAACACUUCACGUUUCCUUCGAUCCAGCCUCCAAUAGUGGUUGUCGAUCAUGCCUAGAUUCGUACUUUUCGUUCUCCUCAAGUUGAAUCAUGUGCCUUCGUGUCCACUUUAGAUCAAACCAUGCACAAGUAAAGUUUGGCUAAGUAUGAUUUAACAAGGAUAGAAAAAGGAACAAGUAUGUCUUAAUAGAACUAUAAGAGAACAUAGGUUGGAAUCAGUCUGUAAUUAGUAAAUUGAAAUUGUACUCUUGUAGAGUCAAUCAUGUACUUCACGAGAAUUAUAAUAUUUUCGAACGUAACCCAUGAGAUAUUUGUUUUUAUAGUAGAUUACUAAUUAACUAACCAUACGCCUUAUGUUUAUGCAUAUUUACUAUAUAUUCUUAUACAUGCAUGUAUAAGAUAUUGUAGACAAUAGUAAAUCUGCAAUUUUGAUGUUAUUAUGCUAGUGCAACUCCAUUAUGAAUUGUAUACAAUGUAAUUACAAGAAUAAAAAUUUUGAAUGCGUGAUUACUCUAGAAACAUGGUAUAAGGUAUAUGGACACUUUAAAUCAUGUGACUUGUCAGCUUAGAGAGUCUCAUAAUUGUUUCUCUAGCAUCAUGUUUUUUCAGAAUGAAUGAAUGUCCGGUAAUAAUUCUGAAAAUCAAUAUGUACCGUGACUAGAUAGGGGGAAAAGCUAGGAUGCUUCUAAGAAUGUUUUAAACUAAUUUUGCACCUUGUUACUUGUUUACAUGUAGUAAACUUAUAUGCACAUGAGAUGAUUCAUGUAAUAUAUGCCUUAAGUUUCGAGAAAAAAAAUUAUGAAUGCCUUAAAAGAAGGAAUAUCCUAGAAUUACUCCGAAUAGUAGAAUUGUUUGUUAUAGUCAUUAUUAGAAUCAUGUAUGAAAAUUUGGCUACCAUUGAAGUAUAUUGAGACUCUGCAUGUAUGUUUAUCUAUAUCUAUACUAAUCUAUCUAUUAAAAAUCUAAUGUGAACACCUGGUGAUACCACAACUUCACCCUCCGCGCUACCACACCGUGCAGAAAUAAUACAAAGCGAGAACUUGAACCCACACCCCUUUGCUCCAAACAUUUGGGGUAACCAUCAAACCACACAUACUUUAGUGUUUAUAAAUAAACAAUAAUUAUAUUUAAAUAAAUAUCUCAAAACCUAUUCAUCUAUACAACUCUAUUAAGAACCUAAUGAGGACACCUUGUGCUACCACAGCUUCACCCUCCACGCUGACACUUUAGGCCCGCCCCACGCGCCCCGACUUGUUCUCCCGUCCCUCUCUCAGCUACUGACAUGUGGACACGCUGACACUCUAGAUCCGCCCACGCUAUUUGACUGGUUCUCCCGCCCCUCUCUCAACUACUGUCCUGUGGAUCCUAGCGUCCACAGAGCUAGCUAUUGCGCCUACUCAGCACCCAACCCUACCCACGCAGCUACCACACCGCGCAAAAAAAUGUAGAGCUUGCACUCGAACCUACACUCACAGUUCCGGAAAUUUAGGGUUAAUCAUUAGACCACACGUAACAUAGUGUUUAGAAAUAAACAAUAAUUAUAUUUGAAUAAAUAUCUUACUACCUAUUUAUAUGAUAUAUAAAAAUCGUAGCAAAGCAUAGGCAACUAGCUAGUAUAGUAUUAUAUUUGCAUUGCGAAUGGGUCUAUAACUGAGUUGGUUAGAUGGUCCGAUUAGCACUCCUCAUGUUCUGAGUUCGACGCCGUAGGAUCGAAUUUCAUGGUGUGAUUAAAAAGAAUCCCCAAAUCGAGUUUUUGCUAUCAUAUUGCAUUGGAAGUCGAAUUUUGGAGCUUAUGUGCAUAUAUAAGCAAUAACUCAUGGAUUGCCAAUCUCGUCGUUGACGCUGUGGAGAUGGCAUUAACUCAUGGAUUGUCAAUCUCGUUGUUGAUGCUCGGAGAGAAAAAAAAAAAGGUGUUCAACUUUGAUGGGUAAUGUCGUAAUUAAGGACUGAUGGUAUUGAACCUAUCGAUGCCCUAGCUAUAGCCUAUGAUGUACCUGACUAUUUAACGUAACCGUCAAUGUUGUUCCACCAUUUGACAUACAUUUCGCUCCGUUUCUUUACAGUGUUGGAUCUGGGGGCAACAUGUCCAAAUUUUAGAGUUGGUGGACGUAUUCAACGAGACGGUUGUACUCUGCUUUCCUUGUUCAACCGUACGUGCUUCGUUUAUCUAGGCUUUGUUUAGCCUGCUGCUGAAUGCUGAUGAACAGGGACGAGUACGACAAGUUUCAACGCUCUCUAGAAGCUGACGAGUGAUGACUGAUGACUGCGUUGUGCCGCUGGUGGUCAACGACAAUUGGCGUUAGCGGCCCUAAAAUAAAAUAAAAUAAAAACUCUGGCGUCAGCACUCAGCAGACAUUUUUUACCGUUCCAUGUGUCCAUGUCCAGACGUGCAUCUGUACUGUACUGUACCUGGAUAUGGGUUUAGAUGGUUUCUUGAGGAAAGUCCCACGCAUUCCAUAUGCAGAAACGGAUCGGGUGCAGUGCAGAAGCCCAGUGCAGUGCAUGCAGAUCGAGAUGCAUGCAUGUCAAGCGCCAUGUCUGAUAAAUGUGUCGUCGCACAGGGGGGACGACGCAGAUUCAUUGACAGACAGACAGCGGAUUUGCAACGUGCACGUGGGCUAUCUUUAGGUGGUGAAGCGACCUCAUUUUGCUAUACCACCUGUCCAGGAGGGUCGGGGUAGACAUUAUUGGGACACCAAAAGCAAUCAUGCAUGCUUGUUUUUUCGGUUCUUGGCCUGAUAGUGAUAGCUGUCAGCUGAUGCCAUGCGUCGCUUGUCUCAUCCUCCUCACCAUCCUUAAGGCCCUAUUUAAAAGCAAACUAGUUUUUAAAAAUUCAGUUUCUAUCUAUAGUUUCUAAAAAUUGUUGGAAAAUUAACAGGGCCUAAGAUUAAUUUGAUAAUGCGGUAUAAAACAUAAAACCUAGAUCUACUGGCAGAUAGUAUCCAUGACAUUAUAACAUAACAAAUCUUAACUAACUCAACAAGAUUAAUGCAUAAAAGAAAAAUCAACAACAUAUCUAACCAUAAGACCGUCAUCGCAAUAAACUGGAAAUACAGAUUCACUUACAAUGACUUCCACGAGUGAUGGUGAGGACCGCGAGCAGACGUGCGCAAAGCACUUCCUAGAAACCUGAUUCGACGGCACCCGUGCAGGCCGUCAAAACGCCGGCGUUGGUUCGAAGACACCGCUCUCUCUUGAUCUGAUGCAUGGCAGACGAAGAGAAGGCAUGGCAGAGAAACAGCGACACAGAGAGAUGAGAAGAAGAGGACGAGUCGGUUGCUAUUCGCGUCCGUCCUCCCACUAAAGGACAUCUGCCCUUUAC
RNAcentral lists this long non-coding RNA (3756 nucleotides) under Zea mays. RNAcentral describes it as "long non-coding RNA (ZMAY_LNC002023)". Lineage: Eukaryota; Viridiplantae; Streptophyta; Magnoliopsida; Poales; Poaceae. The record is from RNAcentral.